CCAAAAAAAACUGCCCGAAGGCCGGGGCGCCAAGUUCGUCCAGCGGAAGAAGGCCACAAAAACGGGUGGGCUAUAGCCUUGGGGGGUGAGGCUGGCCUACUACGUCCGCCGGACUCGGAAUGCCGCGAGACUUUGCGAGGGGCCUCCGUGUGCCAAAAAUAGGCCGCGGACAAAGCCUUGCCCAAAAAUAACCGCCCGAAGGCCGGGGCGCCAAGUUCGUCCAGCGGUAAAAGGCCACAAAAAAGGGUGGGCUAUAGCCUUGGGGGUGGGGCUGGCCAACCUUGUCCGCCAGACUCGAAAUGCCGCGAGACAUUGCGAGGGGCCUCCGUGUGCCAAAAAUAGGCCGCGGGCAAAGCCUCGCCCAAAAAUAACCGCCCGAAGGCCGGGGCGCCAAGUUCGUCCAGCGGUAAAAGGCCACAAAAACGGGUGGGCUAUAGCCUUGGGGGGUGGGGCUGGGUAACUUUGUUCGCAGGACUCGAAAUACCGCGAGACAUUGCGAGGGGCCUCCGUGUGCCAAAAAUAGGCCGCGGGCAAAGCCGCGCUAAAAAAAAACUGCCCGAAGGCCGGGGCACCAAGUUCGUCCAGCGGAAAAAGGCCACAAAAACGGGUGGGCUAUAGCCUUGGGGGGUGGGGCUGGCCAACUUCGUCCGCCGGACUCGGAAUGCCGGGAGACUUUGCGAGGGGCCUCCGUGUGCCAAAAAUAGGCCGCGGGCAAGGCCCCACCCAAAAAUAAGCACCCGAAGGCCGGUGCGCCAAGUUCGUCCAGCGGAAAAAGGCCACAAAAACGGGUGGGCUAUAGCCUUGGGGGGUGGGGCUGGCCAACAUCGUCCGCCGGACUCGGAAUGCCGGGAGACUUUGCGAGGGGCCUCCGUGUGCCAAAAAUAGGCCGCGGGCAAAGCCGCGCCCAAAAAUAACCACCCGAAGGCCGGGGCGCCAAGUUCGUCCAGCGGAAAAAGGCCACAAAAACGGGUGGGCUAUAGCCUUGGGGGGUGGGGCUGGCCAACUUCGUCCGCCGGACUCGGAAUGCCGCGAGACUUUGUGAGGGGCCUCCAUGUGCCAAGAAUAGGCCGCGGGCAAACCCGCGCCCAAAAAUAACCGCCCGAAGGCCGGGGCGCCAAGUUCGUCCAGCGGAAAAAGGCCACAAAAACGGGUGGGCUAUAGACUUGGGGGGUGGGGCUGGCCCACUUCGGCCGCCGGGCUAGGAAUGCUGCGAGGCUUUGCGAGGGGACUCCGUGUGCCAAAAAUAGGCCACGGGCAAAGCCGAGCCGAAAAAUAACUGCCGGAAGGCCGGGGCGCCAAGUUCGUCCAGCGGUAAAAGUCCACAAAAACGGGUGGGCUAUAGCCUUGGGGUUGGGGCUGGCCAACUUUGUCCGCCGGACUCGAAAUGCCGCGAGACAUUGCGAGGGGCCUCCGUGUGCCAAAUAUAGGCCGCGGGCAAAGCCCCGCCCAAAAAUAACCGCCCGAAGGCCGGGGCGCCAAGUUCAUCCAGCGGUAAAAGGCCUCAAAAACGGGUGGGCUAUAACCUUGGGGGGUGGGGCUGGCCGACUUCGUCCGCCGGACUCGAAAUGCCGCGAGACAUUGCGAGGGGCCUCCGUGUGCCAAAAAUAGGCCACGGGCAAAUCCUCGCCCAAAAAUAACUGCCCGAAGGCCGGGGCGCCAAGUUCGUCCAGCGGAAAAAGGCCACAAAAACGGGUGGGCUAUAGCCUUGGGGGGUGGGGCUGGCCAACUUCGUCCGCCGGACUCGAAAUGCCGCGAGACAUUGCAAGGGGCCUCCGUGUGCCAAAAAUAGGCCGUGGACAAAGCCGCGCCCAAAAAUAACCGCCCGAAGGCCGGGGCGCCAUGUUCGUCCAGCGGAAAAAGGCAACAAAAACGGGUGGGCUAUAGCCGUGGGGAGUGGGGCUGGCCUACUUCGUCCGCCGGACUUGGAAUGCCGCGAGACUUUGCGAGGGGCCUCCGUGUACCAAAAAUAGGCCGCGGACAAAGCCGCACCCAAAAAUAACCGCCCGAAGGCCGGGGCGCCAAGUUCGUCCAGCGGUAAAAGGCCACAAAAACGGGUGGGCUAUAGCCUUGGGGGGUGGGGCUGGCCAAGUUCGUCCGCCGGACUCGAAAUGCCGUGAGACAUUGCGAUGGGCCUCCAUGUGCCAAAAAUAGGCCGCGGGCAAAGGCGCGCCCAAAAAUAACCGCCCGAAGGCCGGGGCGCCAAGUUCGUCCAGCGGAAAAAGGCCACAAAAACGGGUGGGCUAUAGCCUUGGGGGGUGGGGCUGGCCAACUUCGUCCGCCGGACUCGGAAUGCCGCGAGACUUUGCGAGGGGCCUCCGUGUGCCAAAAAUAGGCCGCGGUCAAAGCCGCACCCAAAAAUAACCGCCCGAAGGCCGGGGCGCCAAGUUCGUCCAGCGGAAAAAGGCCACAAAAACGGGUGGGCUAUAGCCUU
Molecule: long non-coding RNA, 2431 nt
Filed under: Citrus x clementina
Lineage: Eukaryota; Viridiplantae; Streptophyta; Magnoliopsida; Sapindales; Rutaceae
Description: Citrus clementina (C. clementina) long non-coding RNA (CCLE_LNC006197)
Source: RNAcentral